RNAcentral lists this ribosomal RNA (492 nucleotides) under uncultured bacterium. Its description in RNAcentral is "partial 16S ribosomal RNA". It matches the Rfam family "Bacterial small subunit ribosomal RNA", at positions 29 to 507 of the family's 1533-position model. The record is from RNAcentral.
AAUGAACGCUGGCGGUAUGCCUAACACAUGCAAGUCGAGCGGAAGGACAAGAAGAUCUUGCCCUUACGGGUAGCGGCGGGCGGAUGAGUGAGGAAUACAUAGGAAUCUAAUUUUUCGGGGGGGAAAUCGUGGAACAACAGACACUAAUGGCGAAUACUACGUACCGGUGGGAGCAAAAGUGAAUGGCAGCUUGCUCGAUUGCUUGAGCCGAUGCCGGAUUAGCUAGUUGGGUAGGUAAAGUCACACCAAGGCGACGCUACGUAGCUGGCCUGAGAGGAUGAUCGGCCACACUGGAACUGAGACACGGUCCAGACUCCUACGGGAGGCAGCAGUAGGGAAUCUUCCACAAUGGGCGCAAGCCUGACGCAGCCACGCCGCGUGAGUGAAGAAGGUCUUCGGAUUGUAAAGCUCUUUUGUUAGGAAAGAACAUAUGUAUGUUUAACUCCCGCUAUUCUGACGGUACCUAAAGAAUAAGCCCCGGCUAACUUCGUG